AAUCAACGCUGGCGGCGUGCCUCAGACGUGCAAGUCGAACGCGAAAGUCCCCUUCGGGGGAUGAUUAGAGUGGCGCACGGGUGAGUAACACGUAGGUAAUCUACCUUCGAGUGGUGAAUAACUCAGGGAAACUUGAGCUAAUACCGCAUAAUGCAGCGGCACCACAUGGUGACAGUCGUUAAAGCAUUUAUGCGCUUGAAGAGGAGCCUGCGGCGAUUAGCUAGUUGGUAAGGUAAUAGCUUACCAAGGCUACGAUCUGUAACCGGCCUGAGAGGGCGGACGGUCACACUGACACUGAAUAACGGGUCAGACUCUACGGGAGGCAGCAGUCGGGAAUUUUGGUCGAA
Molecule: ribosomal RNA, 347 nt
Filed under: uncultured bacterium
Lineage: Bacteria
Description: bacterial SSU rRNA
Rfam family: Bacterial small subunit ribosomal RNA
Source: RNAcentral